GAUGAACGCUAGCGGCAGGCCUAACACAUGCAAGUCGAGGGGUAGAGUUCUUCGGGACUUGAGACCGGCGCACGGGUGCGUAACGCGUAUGCAAUCUACCUUAUACAGGGGAAUAGCCCAGAGAAAUUUGGAUUAAUCGCCCCAGUAGUGUUAUCGAAUCGCAUGGUUUGAUAACUAAAGUUCCAACGGUAUAAGAUGAGCAUGCGUCCCAUUAGUUAGUUGGUAAGGUAACGGCUUACCAAGACAAUGAUGGGUAGGGUCCUGAGAGGGAGAUCCCCCACACUGGUACUGAGACACGGACCUAGACUCCUACGGGAGGCAGCAGUGAGGAAUAUUGGU
Molecule: ribosomal RNA, 339 nt
Filed under: uncultured bacterium
Lineage: Bacteria
Description: bacterial SSU rRNA
Rfam family: Bacterial small subunit ribosomal RNA
Source: RNAcentral